GAUCAUGGCUCAGGAUGAACGCUAGCGGCAGGCCUAACACAUGCAAGUCGAGGGGCAGCACGAUAAAGCUUGCUUUAUUGGUGGCGACCGGCGCACGGGUGCGUAACGCGUAUGCAACCUACCCUGUACUGGGGGAUAACCCGGNGAAAUUCGGACUAACACCCCAUAGUAAUAUACUUUCGCAUGUUAGUAUAUUUAAAGGUUACGGUACAGGAUGGGGCAUGCGUCCUAUUAGCUAGAUGGUGAGGUAACGGCUCACCAUGGCGAUGAUAGGUAGGGGGCCUGAGAGGGUGGUCCCCCACACUGGUACUGAGACACGGACCAGACUCCUACGGGAGGCAGCAGUGAGGAAUAUUGGUCAAUGGGCGCAAGCCUGAACCAGCCAUGCCGCGUGCAGGAAGAAUGCCCUAUGGGUUGUAAACUGCUUUUAUUUGGGAAUAAACCUCUUUACGUGUAGAGAGCUGAAGGUACCAAAUGAAUAAGCACCGGCUAACUCCGUG
RNAcentral lists this ribosomal RNA (500 nucleotides) under uncultured bacterium. RNAcentral describes it as "bacterial SSU rRNA". It matches the Rfam family "Bacterial small subunit ribosomal RNA", at positions 15 to 507 of the family's 1533-position model. The record is from RNAcentral.